UAUAUAUAUAUAUAUCACACACACACCAAUUUAACAAAGUUUCAGCCACAAAAACAAAGUUUCUGAAGUAGAACAAUGACUUUCACAGUAAAGACAACCCAAUUUAACAGGAAAUAAGACUUUCAAACCAGGAACAGAUUUCUGCAAUUAUUAAAAAAUGGUUUAUUAUAAAAGCUAUGAAAAUUCGCCAAAAAUCAGAGGAUAAGGGAAACGUUCCAAAUUUUGGUGAGCUAUCAGUGUUAAAUGUGUUCUACCACUGUACCAAGUUUGAAGAAGAUCACUCAAAAAAUGAGGGCGGGAGAGUCCUGUAAAAUCUCCCCUCAUGCUGUUUUUUUUGGCAUGCGCGUCCACCAUUAACGAAUUACUUUUGAAACUAACGAAUUUUCGUUAAUUUCGAAUUUUUUGGGGGGCAAAAUUCGGAAAUGACAUCAGAAACGAAACGCUGGCGCCCCCUACUUUUGAAACGAGUUUAGAAUCAAUUUUUUCAUGGAUCGCUCAAGCCUAGUAUAUACUUAAAUAAUUUAGCAUUUUCCUCCCCCUACUAAACAAAACUUUUAUUUGGAUUAACAACAGAUUCUGAUCUCGUGCCUUGCUUUUUAAAAAAAUCUCGUUAUUAUACUUGCAGUAUGAAUCAGCUCAUCUAUGUGCCUUCACUAGAACAAGUCAAGGUAUUUGGACCUUCCUUUUUUGGUUUAUAGAAGCCACUAUCCAUCUCUCUUGAAACAAGCAGGUUCCACUUAAUAUAAUGAAACAUAUGUCACUCUUUUUCUUUUAUAAACAGCAUUAGAUAUUUCCAUUAAAGCACAAACAAAAUAAUUACAAAGACAGAGAACUAGCAUGAUAUAAUGUGGUCAGCAUUAUACAGUGGUUUUGAGUGCUGAAAUAAAACUUCAAGAUACUAAGGUUCAAGUCCCCAUACAGCCAUGGAAGUCAUACUUUGUCAGUCCUCAAGAAAGGCAAUGUCAAUCCUCUUCUAAAUAAAUCUUGCUAAGAAAACCCUAUCGUUGGCCUGCCGAAAAUUGGAGUUGAUUUGAAGACACACAACAACAACAACAACAACAACAACAACAACAACUGAUACAAUGGUUGCUUUGUGUGUCAAGUUUGAAAAGUCUCAGAUUCAGAGCUUGAUAAAGUUACUUUUCUGGAUUUCUGAUCUUAGAACUCUCCUUAGACUAUUGUAUCAUUCGUGGUUUUUAUGUGGGAGCCACACAGAUAACGAUGGCCGCCUUGGAAAAAAGGCAAGACGGAAAUAUAAACCACAAAUAGCCACCAUUGCCACUACAUUCAGUCUUGAAAGAGUGAUUUUCUGAGCAGCCCCAUCAUUGCAGAGUUGAGGUUACUAGAAAGGCAUUUGCUCGACAUGCGCUCCUUUUCCACCUCAAAGCAGGCUUUAGGUAAUUGCUGUUUGCCAUUUAGCUCCGCGCCUGGUACUAAUUUUUCCGUUUGUCAUCCUUUGACUCACAGGAACUCUUUUCUCUCUGAAAAGGAUGUAUCUCCCAGCUGACCAUGGAAAAAAUGUAACAUGUAAUUCAUUGCUUUCCUGAUAGCACUGAAGAUGAGAAGUGGGCAAGUUAGAAAAACUUGAUGAGGAAGUCCUGUCAUUUCCAAAAGGAAGCAUGAUUCACUUUUCAGGGCAUUUUUGGGAGACUGAAUCAGAGCUGUCGAGGAAGUGAAUUCUUGGACAGCUUAGCCUAAAACAUCAUGUGGCUUGGGGCUUAACGGUGACUUUUCCAGCAAGCAUUUGUGACUUUCCCUUGUGCCGAGAGUAAGUCAUAAACUCAGAUUACAAGCAUGAUCAAGGAGAGAAGAGCGAGAGAAGCAGUGUAGAACGAAUAGAAAUUACCAGUAUUAGCUAUUUAAGAAAACCCAACAGUACUCAUUUUGAUGAGUACUGAAAAGGCAAGUAAAACAGAGAACCAAGUGAAAUAUUUCUCUAUUAUAGCUGCUAAAAAGAGCAUAUUAGAUAACAAAGACCUAGAUGAGGAAGAAAAUCUCAAAGCUUGGUAGCAUUACUUUUCUUACAACUCCCAUAAUUCUGGCCAUGCAAGCUGUGGGAUUCUGGGCACUACAAUCUGGAAGAAAGGAGACCUUAACUUUUGGCAAAUUUAGAAACAUUUUGCAAACAUUUAUAGACCGAGCCUGUACAAAAAAGUCUUGGUCUGCAUUGAAAAUCUGGAAAAUUGAUUAGCAUUCUUUUACUUGUUUUAAUUCCCUUUUAAAAGUUUUUUGGUCUUUUCCAUUUUGGUCUUUUCCACAUGACAGUAUGGCAUAUAUUUAUUAUGGAGAAGUGACAAAUGCCUCUUCGCUACACCAAAUACCAAUUCAUUUACUUUCAUAUAUUCCUGAGACUAAGUUCUGAUAGUAGCCAGGGUCCCCAUACCCUCCAUUAUUUCACAGGUGAAAACUGUGGAGAGGAGCCAAAGCAGAAUGUGGCCAAAAGGGCAUAGACAAAUAACAAGAGGGAAAUGUUAUUAUUAAGGAAGAACAAAAAGUACUCCUGGCAACGACAAAAUGCUGGGUCGAGGGGUAUACCCAAACUGUGGGCAUACUCUAUAUCUUUGUUGGAAAUUGAACCCCAUCUAACCCAAAUUGAAUCUCUGUUCCCCGGGCUGACUUCUGAUUGCCUUGUUUGGAUUAUGUUUCAAUUUGUUCAUCUACAUCCCAUCCAUUACUGACGACAAGCAAUGGUUUCAAAUGGAAAAUUUGGUGCCAGAGGAGGAAUACCAUAGAAACAAUAGGGAUAGAUUCCUGCAUCAUAAAAAGAAAAGCUGUUCAACAUGUUUUUGCCAACUUUUUAUUCAAAACUAACAAUAUGCACAAAUGAAAUGAAACAACCAGGUCAUGUAAGGUUAACAUAAACAAAAGCAUUAUGACACUUCUAAAGACCGCUUGAAAACCCCUUCAAAAAUGCAGGGUUGUUGGUUUUUUGUUUGUUUGUUUGUUUUUUGGUUUUGCUCUUCUCCAUUUUUCACAUUUCCAUUUGUGUAGCCAGAGGUUUUGUUAAUUGAGGUAUGCCUGCAAUAGAAAUCCAUUCCUCAUGAUUUCCCAAGAAGUGACUGUCUUUUCCCUAAAUUCCUCCAAGUGAGUGAGAGCCUUUCCAAAUAUCAAUAGUUGGUUCCCUGGUGAAACUGCUCUUAAUCUGAAUUUUCUCCUAAUGUUCAUCUAAAAUAUGUGGGUCUGUCUUUAUGUUGGCUGUUGACUUUUGGCAACCCCGUGAGAUUCAUAGGGUUUUCUUAAACAAGGACAGUUCAGAGAUAUUCCCUUGUUGAUUCCUUUCUCUAAAAUAUAGCCUACACUACCAGGUAUUAGUUGGUGGUCUCCCACCCAAUCACAAACCAGGGCUUACCCUGUUUAGCUUUCAAGGUGGGAUAGGAUCUGGCGUCUACAGGGUAUUUAGGUCUCAUACCCACUUGCAAUUUAAAAUUAUUCCUUCCUUCUUGUUGGCAGAACAAGUCUGCUGUCUUCUGUAUGACAGUCCCUCAGGCAUUUGAAAUAUUGUAUUGGUAUCUCCCCUAAUGCUUCUGCUUUUCUCCAGGCUAAAGGUAUGUAACUCUUCUACCUUUCCACGUGAAACGUGAGUGCACUUCCAUAACAGGUCUAAGUAAUAUCAAGUAAAGUAGAACUGUUACUGCUGGUGACAUUAAUACUAUUAAGACAAAAAUGCAUUUCCUUUUUUACAGCUCUAUCACAUUGUCAAAUCCUAUUCAGCUUCUGAUAAUAAAAAACAGUCCCAAAAAUAUGUUUGCAUAUGUGAGCUUUUGAGCAGGUCAGGUGUUCCUCAUUUUAUACCCAUGUACUUGAAUGCUCCCAAAUGACCGGUUUGUUGAAUUUGAUUGUGUUGAUCUGAGUUUAUUUUAAAUUUUGAUUUUUAUGCCUGAAGUGUUCAUAAUUCAUCCCUGUUUUGUGUCACUUGCAAAUCUGAUAAUGAGUCCAGAUUCCUCAGUUAUUCUUUGCUCCAUUUUCUGGAUCAUGGCAACGGGAGAGGGAGUAGACCCCAUAAGCCCUCCAUUGAUGAAGGAUCAUAGGAUUUCAGAAGGAUCCCCCGGUAGCACAAUGGGUUAAACCCUUGUGCCGGCAGGACUGCUGACCAACAGAUUCAGCAGUUCAAGUCCAGGGAGGACGGGUGAGCUCCCUCUGUCAGCUCAAGCUCCCCAUGUGGGGACAUGAGAGAAGCCUCCCACAAAGAUGGUAAAAUAUCAAACUUCUGGGCAUCCCCUGGACAAUGCCCUUGCAGACGGCCAAUUCUCUCACAUCAGAAGUGACUUGCAGUUUCUCAGGUUGCUCCAGACACACAAAAAAGGAUUUCAGAACUAGAAGGGGCCACAAGAACCACCUAAUUCAACUCCCUGCCAUAUAGAAAUACAUGACUAAAGCACUCUUGAAAGAUGUCCACCCAACUUUUGUUUAAAGACCUCCAAAGUUAAAGAAUCCAUAAUCUUAAAAUUCUUUUUUUAUAAUUUGAAUCCAUCAAAUCCUCGAGCAGCAAAGAAACCAGCUUGCUCUGUCUUCGACAUGACAACCUUUCAGAUAUUUACCGGUGGUUAACAUGCCACUUAGACUCUUCUCUUCUCUAAGGUAAACAUAUCCAGCUUCCUCAGUCAUGCUUCAUAAUGCUUAAUUUCCAAACUUUUGAUCAUCUUAUUCACCUUUUUCUGGGCACAUUCCAGCUUCUUGAACUGUAGUGACUCAAACUGGACAUAAUAUUCGAAUUGAGAUCUGACCAAGGCAGAAUACCAUGAUGGUAUUGUUUAAAAUGUUUUAAUUCUAUUUUAUAAUUCCAUUUUAAAUGUUUAUUUUAUUGUACAUUGUUUUUAAAGGCAUCAAAUUGUUGCCUAUGUGUAAAGCCACCUUGAAUCCCCUUUGGGGUUGAGAAAGGUGGGGUAGAAGUGUUGUAAAUAAAUAAAUAGUGUGACUCUACCUCCCUUGAUUGGGACAGUGUGUCGCUCAGUAAUUCCUUCAUUUUUUGGAAGUCAGCUCUCUUAAAGUCCAGAAUGCGUGUUUGACUUCUCUUAGUUUCAGCCUUCCUUUGUAUGGCAAACUGCAGGAGCACAUGGUCACUUGCCCCUAAGGAUCCGACCACUUCGACUGUAUUGAUCAGGUCUUCCACAUUUGUCAAGAUUAGAUCAAGAGUAGCCGAUCCCCUUGUUGCCUCUUCUACCUUCUGGACCAUAAAAUUGUCUGCAAGGCAAGUGAGGAAUUUGUUGGACUUUGUACUCUUGGCCAAGUUUGUUUUCCAGCAGAUAUUGGGAUAGUUGAAAUCGCCCAUGACUACUAUAUCUCUCCUUGGUGCCUGUUUAAUCCUCCUCCUCUCCAUACGCUAAGGUGCAUAGAUGUGUCUUUUACUGUUUCUUAAUGGAGAGGAGGGUGGGGGCCAUUUUUAUUUCUUUAGCGAGGGAAUUCCAGAGGCGGGGGGCGAUCAUGGAGAAGGCCCCCUUUUUCGUUUCCACCAGCUGCGCUUGUAAUGAGGGUGGGACCGAGAGCAGGGUCUACUCCACUGACCAAAGUGCCCGGGUUGGUCUAUAUAGGGAGAUGAGAUUUGAUAAAUAGCCUGGACCAUGAGAACUGUUUUGACCCACUAUGAAUUCAAUGGGCUUCAUAUAAUUUAGGAUAGCAUUCAACCAGUUUGCUAACCCAAAUAUCAAGGGCUGUCCUGUCAAUUGCGUUCCUGAAAUAAAGAUAAAUCACAUCCCCAGCACUGCCACAAAUUAAGCCUUUUCUGAAAUCAAGAUAAAUUACACCCACAACAUCCUCACAACACACACAACUAGUGACUUAAGUUUUAAAAAUACAAUAAAAAGUCAGGUUUACUCUGGGCAAAUCAAGAUGCUUAAAACUGAACAUUUCAUAAUAUGUUCAAAAGUCUUCCCUUUUGUUAAAGUCAGACUGAUUGGUCUGGAUUGGAUUCUAUUGACUUUGUACAUUGAGAAAAUAUUUGCCAGUUAUCCUGUCCUUUGGCAGUUCACCUGUUCUCCAGGUUUUCCUAGAGAUGACAGUGCAUCGUGCCCAGAUAAAUCUGUGAAAUCUCAGAUAUGAACAAAAUUUUCAGAUAAAAAGGUGUCUACUGGGCUUAAAAAUGUUGAUUGGUACAUAACCACCGAGCUACAAAUCUUACAUUUGAUGAGUGUGAAUGUUCAUGUUAUAUCGAUCCUGACAUUCAGCAGUAAAUCUCCUAAAAUGUAAUAUGUCAACAGUCAGACCUCUGAUACGAGGAGAAAUAACCAAAGCUUAAAUGCAAGUAAUAAGCUUUCCUUCCAUGUUUCUCCAGCUUGGUGCAGCAUUCUCCCAAAUGAAUGAGAACUGGGAGACCUUUCUGGACCUUUUGAAAACAUUAAUGGGACCCAUCCAAAAGUUUGCUUUUUAUGAUUGAUUGAUUUCACUUCCAAUUUAAAAUAUAGACCCAUUCAUUGCAUUAUCUUGACAGUCCAUCUUAGAAUCAUAGAAUCGUAGAGUUGGAAGAGAUCUCAUAGGCCAUCCAGUCCAACCCUCUGCCAAGAAACAGGAAAAUUGCAUUCAAAGCACCCUUGACAGAUGGCCAUCCAGCCUCUGCUUAAAAGCCUACAAAGAAGGAGCCUCCACCCCACUCCGGGGGAGAGAGUUCCAUGCUAAACAGCUCAUCUCACAGUGAGGAAGUUCUUCCUAAUGUUCAGGUUGAAUCUCCUUUCCUGUAGUUUGAAGCCAUUGUUCCAUGUCCUAGUCUCCAGGGCAGCAGAAAACAAGCUUGCUCCCUCCGCCCUAUGACUUCCUCUCACAUCUUUAUACAUAGCCUUCAUGUCUUCUCUCAGCCUUCUCUUCUGUAGACUAAACACUCCCAGCUCUUUAAGCCACUCCUCAUAGGGCUUGUUCUACAGACCCUUGAUCAUUUUAGUUGCCUCCUCUGGACACCUUCAAGCUUGUCAACAUCUCCCUUCAAUUGUGUUGCCCAGAAUGUGGUCUGACCAAGGCAGAAUAGAGGAGUAACAUGAUUUCCCUGGAUUUAUACACUAUACUCCUAUUUAUGCAGGCCAAAAUGCCAUUGGCUUUUUUUGCCACUGCAACACAUUGUAGGCUCAUGUUUAACUUGUUGUCCAUGAUAACUAUUUAUUAUUUAUUUAUUUACAGUAUUUAUAUUCCGCCCUUCUCACCCCAAAGAGGACUCAGGGCGUAUCACAAUGUACAUAUAUGGCAAACAUUCAAUGCCAUUAGACAAACAACGCACACAGACAGACAAAGAGGCUAUUUAACUUCCCAAAGAGGCUUUGUGAGGGUAUGCUUGAUUCCGGCCACAGGAGGAGCUGCUGCUUCAUCAUCCACUGUGAUGACGAGUACUUUUUUUGAUGGAGUACUUCCUCAUCUGGUGUUGUAAAUCAGUUAAAUUAGCCUCCCCGCAUAAACAGUCCCUAAAUUUUCCUACUUGACAGAUGCAACUGUCUUUUGGGUUGCUUAGGUCAACAACGAGCAGGACUAUUUUUUAUUUUAAUUGUCAGGUGCUCACUCCAACACGGGCUGGCCUCGAACUCAUGACCUCUUGGUCAUAGUGAUUUAUUGCAGCUGGCUACUAACCAGCCUGCACCACAGCCCGGCCCUCCAAGAUCUUUUUCACACGUUUUGGCCCAUCUCUCUAAUCUGUUAAGAUCAUUUUGAAUUCUGCUCCUGUCUUCUGGGGUAUUGGCUAUCAUUCCCAAUUUGGUGUUGUCUGCAAACUUGAGGAUCAUGCCGUCUAACUCUUCAUCUAAAUCAUUUAUAAAGAUGUUGAACAGAACUGGGCCCAGGAUGGAUUCCUGUGGCACUCCAUUCAUCACUUUUUUCCAGGAUGAAGAGGAAGCAUUGGUGAACCCUUUGGGUUCGUUCUCUUAACCAAUUACAGAUCCACCUAACCGUAGUUUUGCCUAGCCCACAUUAGACAGAAGGUCAUGUUGAAGGCCUUACUGAAAUCCAGAUAUGCUACAUCCACAGUGUAUCCUGCAUCAACCCAGCUUGUAACUCUUAUCGAAAAAAGAGAUCAGAUUAGUCUGGCAUGACUUGUUUUUGAUAAAUCCAUGUUAACUAUUAGUGAUGACCACAUUUGUUUCUAAGUGUUUGCAGAUAAACUUUUUAACAAUCUUUUCCAGAAUUCUGCCUGGUAUCGAUGUGUGGCUGACCAGACAGUAAUUGUUUGGGGUGUCCCUUUUUCCCUUCUGGAAGAAAGGGACCACAUUUGCCAUCCUCUUGCUGGAUGGUUCAUUUAUAUCAGGGUGAGGCAGCCAAAAGCAGGGCCCAUUCAUUGUUCUCUACAUGAAAAGGAUGGCUUCCUGGACAUGUAAAACUCUUCUAUGCAUGUUAAUUUCAUAUUCUAAUUGAUAGAAUCACUGCAGUACAACAGGUUUUUUAAAAUGAAUACACCAGAUUUCAAAACCACAUCUUAAAUAUAAUAUUAGAAACAUCAAAUUCAAGAAAUGAAAAUCUUUUGUGCAUCAGGUUUAAGAAGCGCAGAAGCAUUCUUGUAGAACAUAAUGUGAAAAUUGGCCCAUCGUGGCCAAUGGCAGCUCAAGAGUUUUAAUUUUGAGCUUCAGAAUGGUAAUGCUUGGCAGGUUAACAGAUUCAUUUUUAAAGCUUUUUAAAAAAAUGGAAACAAAACAAUUAAAGGAAAGUAGUGAUGAGGAAGGGCACUAACUUGGCAUUACUUUAUUUUGUGAUAACUCUGGAGUACAGCAUAUCCUUCUAGCCUUUCCUUUCAAUCUCGCCCAUCAGAAGAGCCAAAAUCUGUGGCCAUUUGUGUGGGAAACUUGGCAAGACUGUGAUGCAGAAGCCAAGCGAUGGAAUGUGAUUUUCCAACAGCAGCAUCUGGGCCCCGGUUAACUUCCUGACUGAUCUCCUGCCGGAGACAAGGAGCCAACCACAAUAAAUGCAGAAAGCAGUGGGAAAGAGGCUCAAAUCUUGGACACAGCAUAUAUCCUUAAAAAUAGCAAUCCAAAUCCAAAACAUGUAACUUGCAUGCAACUUCAAAACUCUGCUAGAAAAUGCAUCCUCCUGUAGAUUUGCCAUGUAGAAUAUGUCCUAGUUCAUUUUUCUACUAGUCCCAGAAAUGCAGCUGAAGACAAUAAUUUCAUUCAAGAAAUAGUUUAGCAACUUCAACACUCCAGACCCAUCCAGAUGGAUAAAAGAAUGUUUCUCUGUACUGUAUGCUCCACAUUUAUGUUCUGUAUGCUUCAUAUUUUUCAAGAUCCUGUUGUAUUUUUAUUGUAUUAUUUUCCAUACUUGUUCUCCUCAUUUUCUGAACUUUUACACUUAUUAGAAAAGCAGAAAACCCAUUCACACCCACUGAAUUAGUAUGGCUCAUAGAAAUUGUACAUUUUGGUUUCUGUGGAUGUCCUGCUUUUUGUUGAGAAGGUGUAGCUCUCAAGACUUUAGUUUUCCCUUAAGGAAAGAAUGAAGAAUGGCAAAUUAAGAGUCACGCUGCUUCCAGACAACAAUUUAUUGUGGGAUAAAAUGGGUUAAAUUAACCCAUUUUCUCCCGUGUUGCUGUCUGUAUGAGCACCCAAAAUAUUAAUAUAAUAAUAAUAUACUUCACUUAUAUUCUGCUCUAUCUCCCCAAGGGGACUCAGGGCAGAUUACAGAACACAUAUAUGGCAAACAUUCAAUGCCAUUAUACAAUUAACAAGGACAGACCAUACAUAAACAAAAAUAAAGGCUUUCCCCAUCUUUUCCAUUUCCGGCAUAUGGAGGCUGUGCUUGACUACAGCCACCGGGGGGGGGGGGGGGGGUGCUGUGUAUAUAUUAUUAUUGGUUUUGUUUUCUGAUGUUUCAUAUUUUAUUUUGUAUUGUUUUGUAUCCGAUUGUGCUGUAAGCCGCCCCGAGUCCCCUUCGGGGGAGAUGGAGGCGGGAUAUAAAUAAACUUAUUAUUAUUAUUAUUAUUAUUAUUAUUAUUAUUAUUAUUAUUAUUAUUAUUAUUAUUAUUACCAUGCGGAGGAGCAUUGCCGUCCAUAGACGUCCUCCUGAUAGAAUCGUCAGCAUGACCUUAUGUGUGCCUUUAUUACCUCCCCGCUUAAAGUGGUACCUAUUUAUCUACUCACAUUUCUGUUUUCAAUCUGCUAGGUGGGCAGGGAGCUGGGGCUGAUGGCUGGUACUCACACUGACCUGGGCUUGAACUGACAACCUUUUGAUUGGCCUGGACCAAGGCAGUACGCUGCUGUGAAUAUAUCCUUCCACUACACUGCAGCCAGCAAAACCUUUGGGGAGGUGUAAGUGAGAGUGGAUCCUCCAAAAGGAAAGGAUGGCCAAAAGCCUCAGGAGGAACAGGCACGUCUGUUGCUGCAGCCCUCUGUCCCUGCCACCUCUGAAUGGGAGAAGGUGGAAUAGAUUGACCAGGAGCUACUGUACAAGUUUAAAUAAAAAAGGUGCAGUCAACUUUAGCAUGCAAGAUCUUGUUGGAGACUACACCUCUUGGAACCCCUAACCAUAGACCAUUCUGACUGAGGCUGAUGGAUGCUGCAGGUAAUCUGAAGGGCUGCAAUUGCCCACUUCUACUUAAUGCCCCUGGAUGAGAAGGUGAAUUAUGAACAUAUGAACUUCAGACCUACCAUUUGGCACAAUGGGGCAACUCCCUCAAGCAGUGGAUGCUGAUAGUUUGCGUAUAUUUGUAUGUGCAAAGGCUACUUCCUAUUAAAUAUGACCUACA
Anolis carolinensis (green anole) is the source of this 10636-nucleotide long non-coding RNA. RefSeq lists it as uncharacterized. The transcript has 4 exons. The record is from RefSeq and is a predicted model, not a curated record. NCBI's taxonomy places the organism in Eukaryota, Metazoa, Chordata, Lepidosauria, Squamata, Anolidae.